This 132-nucleotide small nucleolar RNA is filed under the name Dasypus novemcinctus (nine-banded armadillo). Its description in RNAcentral is "Small nucleolar RNA SNORA38 (ENSDNOG00000044720.1)". It matches the Rfam family "Small nucleolar RNA SNORA38". From Rfam's summary of the family: ACA38 is a member of the H/ACA class of snoRNA that guide the sites of modification of uridines to pseudouridines. The record is from RNAcentral. Lineage: Eukaryota; Metazoa; Chordata; Mammalia; Cingulata; Dasypodidae.
CCCUCCUACAAAGGAGUGGCUGAGGUUUCCUGUCCUUGGACACAUAAGAAUUGGAGGCAAAGAGAUGUGAACUUGGAAAGUCUGGAGCCAGCUUGCUCCCUGCCCGCCUCAGGAUCACCCUUUCCCACACAG